RNAcentral lists this ribosomal RNA (766 nucleotides) under uncultured Streptococcus sp. Its description in RNAcentral is "bacterial SSU rRNA". It matches the Rfam family "Bacterial small subunit ribosomal RNA", at positions 28 to 776 of the family's 1533-position model. The record is from RNAcentral. Lineage: Bacteria; Bacillati; Bacillota; Bacilli; Lactobacillales; Streptococcaceae.
GACGAACGCUGGCGGCGUGCCUAAUACAUGCAAGUAGAACGCUGAAGAGAGGAGCUUGCUCUUCUUGGAUGAGUUGCGAACGGGUGAGUAACGCGUAGGUAACCUGCCUUGUAGCGGGGGAUAACUAUUGGAAACGAUAGCUAAUACCGCAUAACAAUGGAUGACACAUGUCAUUUAUUUGAAAGGGGCAAUUGCUCCACUACAAGAUGGACCUGCGUUGUAUUAGCUAGUAGGUGAGGUAACGGCUCACCUAGGCGACGAUACAUAGCCGACCUGAGAGGGUGAUCGGCCACACUGGGACUGAGACACGGCCCAGACUCCUACGGGAGGCAGCAGUAGGGAAUCUUCGGCAAUGGGGGCAACCCUGACCGAGCAACGCCGCGUGAGUGAAGAAGGUUUUCGGAUCGUAAAGCUCUGUUGUAAGUCAAGAACGAGUGUGAGAGUGGAAAGUUCACACUGUGACGGUAGCUUACCAGAAAGGGACGGCUAACUACGUGCCAGCAGCCGCGGUAAUACGUAGGUCCCGAGCGUUGUCCGGAUUUAUUGGGCGUAAAGCGAGCGCAGGCGGUUUGAUAAGUCUGAAGUUAAAGGCUGUGGCUCAACCAUAGUUCGCUUUGGAAACUGUCAAACUUGAGUGCAGAAGGGGAGAGUGGAAUUCCAUGUGUAGCGGUGAAAUGCGUAGAUAUAUGGAGGAACACCGGUGGCGAAAGCGGCUCUCUGGGUCUGUAACUGACGCUGAGGCUCGAAAGCGUGGGGAGCGAACAGG